GCACCGGCUAACUACGUGCCAGCAGCCGCGGUAAUACGUAGGGUGCGAGCGUUGUCCGGAAUUACUGGGCGUAAAGAGCUCGUAGGUGGUUUGUCGCGUCGUUUGUGUAAGUCCACGGCUUAACUGUGGGACUGCAGGCGAUACGGGCAUAACUUGAGUGCUGUAGGGGAGACUGGAAUUCCUGGUGUAGCGGUGAAAUGCGCAGAUAUCAGGAGGAACACCGAUGGCGAAGGCAGGUCUCUGGGCAGUAACUGACGCUGAGGAGCGAAAGCAUGGGUAGCGAACAGGAUUAGAUACCCUGGUAGUCCACGCUGUAAACGAUGAGUGCAAGGUGUUGGGGGUCAAACCUCGGUGCCGCCGUUAACACAGUAAGCACUCCGCCUGGGGAGUACGUACGCA
Molecule: ribosomal RNA, 399 nt
Filed under: uncultured bacterium
Lineage: Bacteria
Description: bacterial SSU rRNA
Rfam family: Bacterial small subunit ribosomal RNA
Source: RNAcentral